UAUUCCACCAAUCAUGGAAACGAACAUGGUUGCAAUGGCAAGUGCUCAGUUGGUUUCGUGAUGCCGUAUAAGAUAGCCUCCAUACCAUAGAAGAAACGCGUAACAGCAGAAAAACAACAAAGUAAGUUGCACUUAAUCCCAUUCCCUUUGCAAGACCAGUUUUGUAGCCAAGUCAUCUUCCAAUUAAACCUAUCAUAUCUGGUGUCAAGCUAAUCUCUGCAAUGGAGGUAUUUCCUGAGCCUAUGAUUACCACCAACAAUCCUGAUACCGAGAAUAUGUUCUUCAUCAUCAAGCUGUUCCAACCUCUCAGUACUAGUUGUAGCUGGAGAACCAGAUUUAACAUUCACUUCUCUAACACUUACAAUGCCAAGAUCACCUUGCAUAAUACACCUGCUAACAAAUGGUUUAUAUUUCUGUGGCUGAUCAAAUCUUCUAACCAGAGACCAAACAAGAUGAACAGGGGCUAAAGAUGGUUUUCCAUGUCACCCAUAUGUACAUCUGAAUCAACAGAAUCUCGUAGUUCCAAACUUUGCGCCAUUUGUCUAGGCCUUUACCACGUCGGAACGAAAAGCAUCAAUAGUUCCACUGUGUAUACUUUUCCAAAAAUAUUGCCACAUAUCACAUUUUGAUGUUGUUUCAAUGCAUGUUAUUAUUGAAUUAGGCAUGACUGUUGUAUGGUUUAUUACACAACUAUUGCGUUGGAUUGCUCCUAGAACACUAACUUCCGAUUCAAAUUCUCUCUGAUUCUGUCUUCGAUCAAAGGUACCUUAUUUUUCACCAUCCUCUAAUAGAUGCCUCCCUGACCAUGCUGCCAAGGUCGUGCACACAUCUAACACAACAUUCCUUUUCUUAUUUGUAGGUGUUCCUGCAACAUGUCUUCACAGGUGCGUUUGAGUGAUCCGGUUCCUUGAGCAAUAAGCUCUUGGCUGCAAGUACUUAGGAAAUCAAUCUGCAAUGACAAUCUCCCCACCACUAUCACCUAG
RNAcentral lists this long non-coding RNA (983 nucleotides) under Lathyrus oleraceus (garden pea). RNAcentral's name for it is "Pisum sativum (pea) long non-coding RNA (PSAT_LNC034521)". The record is from RNAcentral. Lineage: Eukaryota; Viridiplantae; Streptophyta; Magnoliopsida; Fabales; Fabaceae.